This 440-nucleotide ribosomal RNA is filed under the name uncultured bacterium. RNAcentral describes it as "partial 16S ribosomal RNA". It matches the Rfam family "Bacterial small subunit ribosomal RNA", at positions 338 to 795 of the family's 1533-position model. The record is from RNAcentral.
CCUACGGGAGGCAGCAGUGGGGAAUAUUGCACAAUGGGGGAAACCCUGAUGCAGCGACGCCGCGUGAGUGAAGAAGGUUUUCUGGAUGUAAAGCCCUAUCAGCAGGGAAGAAAAUGACGGUACCUGACCAAGACGCCCCGGCCAACUUCGUGCCAGCAGCCGCGGUUACACGUAGGGGGCGAGCGUUAUCCGGAUUUACUGGGUGUAACGGGAGCGUAGACGGCAGGGUAAGUCCGAAGUGAAAGCCCAUGGCUUAACCAUGGAACUGCUGUGGAAACUGUGAGGCUGGAGUACGGGAGAGGCAAGCGGAAUUCCUGGUGUAGCGGUGAAAUGCGUAGAUAUUAGGAGGAACACCAGUGGCGAAGGCGGCUUACUGGACUGUAACUGACGUUGAGGCUCGAAAGCGUGGGGAGCAAACAGGAUUAGAUACCCUGGUAGUC